This 253-nucleotide ribosomal RNA is filed under the name uncultured bacterium. Its description in RNAcentral is "partial 16S ribosomal RNA". It matches the Rfam family "Bacterial small subunit ribosomal RNA", at positions 524 to 776 of the family's 1533-position model. The record is from RNAcentral.
GACAGAGGGUGCGAACGUUGUUCGGAAUUACUGGGCGUAAAGCGCGUGUAGGCGGCCAUGUAAGUCGGGCGUGAAAUCCCACGGCUCAACCGUGGAAGUGCACCCGAAACUGCGUGGCUAGAGUCCUGGAGAGGAAGGUGGAAUACUUGGUGUAGAGGUGAAAUUCGUAGAUAUCAAGCGGAACACCGGUGGCGAAGGCGGCCUUCUGGACAGUGACUGACGCUGAGAUACGAAAGCGUGGGGAGCGAACAGG